AGUGAACGCUGGCGGUAUGCCUAACACAUGCGAGUCGAACGGCAGCACAGUAAGAGCUUGCUCUUACUGGUGGCGAGGGGCGGACGGGUGAGGAAUACAUCGGAAUCUACUUUUUCUUGGGUGAUAACGUAGGGCCACUUAUGCUAAUACCGCAUACGACCUACGGCUGAGUGCAGGGGAUCUUCGGACCUUGCGCGAUUGUAUGAGCCGAAGUCGGAUUAGCUAGUUGGCUGGGUAAAGUCCCACCAAGGCGACGAUCCGUAGCUGGUCUGAGAGGAUGAUCAGCCACACUGGAACUGAGACACGGUCCGGACUCCUACGGGAGGCAGCAGUGGGGAAUAUUGGACAAUGGGCGCAAGCCUGAUCCAGCCAUACCGCGUGAGUGAAGAAGGCCUUCGGGUCGUAAAGCCCUUUUGUUGGGAAAGAAAAGCAGUAGGUUAAUACGCCGCUGUUCUGACGGUACCCAAAGAAUAAGCACCGGCUAACUUCGUG
Molecule: ribosomal RNA, 492 nt
Filed under: uncultured bacterium
Lineage: Bacteria
Description: partial 16S ribosomal RNA
Rfam family: Bacterial small subunit ribosomal RNA
Source: RNAcentral